This 470-nucleotide ribosomal RNA is filed under the name uncultured Glomus. RNAcentral describes it as "SSU rRNA". It matches the Rfam family "Eukaryotic small subunit ribosomal RNA", at positions 569 to 1044 of the family's 1831-position model. Lineage: Eukaryota; Fungi; Glomeromycota; Glomeromycetes; Glomerales; Glomeraceae. The record is from RNAcentral.
AGCAGCCGCGGUAAUUCCAGCUCCAAUAGCGUAUAUUAAAGUUGUUGCAGUUAAAAAGCUCGUAGUUGAAUUUCGAGAUCAGUACGCUGGUCGUGCCUUCGGUAUGCACUGGUGUCACUGGUUUCUCCCUUCUGAAGAACCGUCAUGCCAUUCAGUUGGUGUGGCGGGGAAUCAGGACUGUUACUUUGAAAAAAUUGAGUGUUUAAAGCAGGCUCGCGCUUGAAUACAUUAGCAUGGAAUAAUGAAAUAGGACGUUUGACCCUAUUUUGUUGGUUUCUAGGAUCGACGUAAUGAUUAAUAGGGAUAGUUGGGGGCAUUAGUAUUCAAUUGUCAGAGGUGAAAUUCUUGGAUUUAUUGAAGACUAACUACUGCGAAAGCAUUUGCCAAGGAUGUUUUCAUUAAUCAAGAACGAAAGUUAGGGGAUCGAAGACGAUCAGAUACCGUCGUAGUCUUAACCAUAAACUAUGCCG